This 253-nucleotide ribosomal RNA is filed under the name uncultured bacterium. RNAcentral describes it as "partial 16S ribosomal RNA". It matches the Rfam family "Bacterial small subunit ribosomal RNA", at positions 524 to 776 of the family's 1533-position model. The record is from RNAcentral.
UACGUAGGGUGCGAGCGUUAAUCGGAAUUACUGGGCGUAAAGCGUGCGCAGGCGGCUUUGCAAGACAGAUGUGAAAUCCCCGGGCUCAACCUGGGAACUGCAUUUGUGACUGCAAGGCUAGAGUACGGCAGAGGGGGAUGGAAUUCCGCGUGUAGCAGUGAAAUGCGUAGAUAUGCGGAGGAACACCAAUGGCGAAGGCAAUCCCCUGGGCCUGUACUGACGCUCAUGCACGAAAGCUAGGGGAGCAAACAGG